AUGGAUCAAAACCUUUCCAUAGUGUUUUGGAAUGUGCGAGGGCUCAAUAGCCGCGCCAAACGCACAGCCGUGCACUCCGUUGUCUCCUCGGCUGAUCCUUGUAUCGUGUGUUUGCCAGAAACUAAGCUGAAUUUCAUCUCGUCGUUGCUUGUCCUGGAGACGCAGGGCACCCCCUUUGCCGAUUUUUUCUUUCUUCCGGCCACGGGCACUCGUGGUGGUAUCCUACUAGCCUGGCGCAGCGACCACAUCUCCCUCGCCAACCCCAUCCUUGGGGCUUUCCAUGUGUCAGCCACCUUCUCCCCUGCCAUCGAUGCAGCCCCGUGGUGGAUCACCGGGGUCUACGGACCCCAAGGCAUGGCCGAGAAACUCGCCUUCAUGGCCGAGCUCCACGAUCUGCGCGACACGAUUGCCAGCCCUUGGCUCCUGGGCGGCGACUUCAAUAUGAUAACAUCAUGUGCGGACAAGAACAAUGGCAACCUCAACCCGCGCAACAUGAGCCGAUUUCAACGCUUUAUCGCGGAUCACGCCCUGAGGGACAUCUACCUCCAGGCAGGAGAUACACGUGGUCCAACGAGCAAAGCAACCCCACACUUGUCAGGAACGAUCACGUGCUUUGCACCCCAUCCUGGGUGA
RNAcentral lists this ribosomal RNA (633 nucleotides) under Triticum aestivum (bread wheat). RNAcentral describes it as "partial small subunit ribosomal RNA". The record is from RNAcentral. Lineage: Eukaryota; Viridiplantae; Streptophyta; Magnoliopsida; Poales; Poaceae.